AUGUCUUCAAUGGAGAGCCUAGCACAGUUAGAGGUGUUGUGCGAAAAGCUUUACAACUCUAGAGACUCGGCUGAGAGAGCACAUGCAGAAAGUACGCUCAAGUGCUUCUCAGAGAACAGAGACUACAUUUCGCAGUGCCAAUAUAUAUUGGACAAUGCGUCAACUCCAUAUGCCUUGAUGUUGGCCAGUACAAGCUUGGUGAAGCAAGUGUCAGAUCGCAGUCUUUCUCUACAAUUGCGCCUUGAUAUCCGGAAUUAUGUCAUGAACUACCUUGCGGCAAGAGGACCUAAAUUGCAGAACUUUGUGACUAUUUCCCUAAUUCAGCUUGCAUGUCGGAUAACAAAAUUUGGAUGGUUUGAUGACGACAGAUUCAGAGAGAUUUUUAAAGAAGCAACAGAUUUCUUAGCUCUGGCAUCUCAGGAUCACUAUUUAAUAGGAUUGAAGAUACUAAAUUUUCUCGUAAUGGAAAUGAACCAGGCAAACUCUGCAAUGCCUUUGACACUUCACAGAAAAAUUGCAACUUCAUUCAAGGACCAGUUUCUUCUGCAGAUUUUCCAAAUUUCUCUUACCUCAUUACACCAACUGAAAAGUGAAGGUGAUGUUCGAGUACCAGAUGAGCUAAGGCGUGUUCCUAUUUCGCUUGCAUUGAGGUGCUUGUCAUUUGACUUUGUUGGUUCUCCAGUGGAUGAGAGCUCUGAAGAAUUUGGAACAGUGCAGCUUCCUGCAUCCUGGAGGCCUCUCCUUCAAGAUCCUUCCACUGUUCAGAUCUUUUUUGACUACUACAAAGUCAAUGAUACAUCUGUUUCAAAAGAGGCUUUGGAAUGUCUUGUCAGACUUGCUUCUGUCAGGCGAAGUCUUUUUGUGGAAGACCCUGCCAGGUCCCAGUUUCUCUCACAUCUGAUGUCAGGCACCAGGGAGAUACUCCAAACAGGCCAAGGUCUCGCUGAUCAUGGAAAUUACCAUGAGUUCUGCCGUCUUCUGGGACGUUUUAAAGUGAAUUACCAGUUAUCAGAGCUUCUGAAUGUUGAGUUCUAUGGUGAAUGGCUUGGUCUCGUAGCAGAAUUUACAACUAAAUCGUUGCUAUCAUGGCAGUGGGCCAGUAAUAGCGUCUACUAUCUUUUAAGUCUCUGGUCAAGGCUGGUGACAUCUGUGCCUUACUUGAAAGGCGAUACACCAAGUCUGCUUGAUGAAACUGUACCCAAAAUUACGGAGGGUUUUAUCACUUCUAGAAUUAAUUCUGUCCAGGCCAGCUUUGCGGACAACUCACCAGACCCAGAUAAUCCAUUAGAAAAUGCGGAAAGUCUCCAGGAUCAGCUGGAGAGUCUUCCUUAUCUUUGUAGAUUCAAGUAUGAAAGCUGUAGCCUCUUCAUCAUUAAUAUCAUGGAGCCUCUUCUACAAGCUUAUACGGCAAGGUCAAGAUUACCAGCUUCUGGAGAUGCAGCUGAGCUGUCUGUCAUUGAAGGGCAAAUUGCAUGGAUGGUCCACAUAAUUGCAGCUAUUCUCAAGAUUAGGCAGACUGUGGGUUGCAGCCAAGAUUCACAGGAGUUAUUCGAUGCGGAACUUGCGGCUCGUGUGUUACAGUUGAUAAAUAUUACUGACACAGGGGUGCACGCACAGAGAUAUCAAGAAAUAAGUAAGCAAAGGCUUGAUCGAGCUAUUCUCAUCUUUGUUCAAAAUUUCAGAAGGUCAUAUGUAGGGGACCAAGCCAUGCAUGCUUCAAAGUUGUAUGCAAGAUUGUCUGAACUUCUUGGACUGACUGACCAUUUAGUUUUACUCAACGUCAUUGUUGGGAAAAUAGCUACAAAUCUGAAGUGCUAUGCUGAGUGCGAAGAUGUUAUUGAUCAUACUCUGUCACUGUUCCUGGAGCUUGCAUCUGGCUAUAUGACUGGAAAGCUUAUUCUCAAGCUGGAGAGUACAAAGUUCAUUAUUGCAAAUCAUUCUCGGGAAAAUUUUCCGUUUCUUGAAGAAUAUAGAUGUGUCCGCAGUAGAACUAACUUCUACUACAUCCUGGGCUGCUUGGUCUUCAUGGAGGAUGGCCCAGUAAAAUUCCGAAGUUUCAUGGAGCCACUUCUGCAGGUUGCAGUUAAUUUGGAGGCAAGUGCUGAUGCUGCUUUCCGGACUGAUGUUGUAAAGUACGCAUUUACUGGUUUGAUGAGAGAUCUACGAGGCAUUGCUAUGGCCACAAACAGCCGCAGGACUUACGGCCUCCUAUUUGACUGGUUGUAUCCGUCUCGCAUGCCUCUUCUGUUGAGAGCCAUCUCCCUGCUGACUGAUGAACCAGAGGUCACCACACCCUUACUUAAGUUCAUGUCUGAAUUUGUUUUGAAUAAGGCUCAACGAUUGACAUUUGAUUCAUCAUCACCAAAUGGGAUCCUUCUGUUCCGGGAGAUUAGUAAGCUGAUUGUGGCUUAUGGUUCACGGAUUUUAUUGCUUCCAAAUGGCACUAAUAUUUAUAGAAGUAAAUACAAAGGCAUAUGGAUUUCAUUGACUGUUCUUUCAAGGGCCCUAUGUGGGAACUAUGUCAAUUUUGGUGUCUUCGAGCUUUAUGGUGACAGAGCACUUGCGGAUGCCCUUGAUAUAUCUUUAAAGAUGACUCUGUCAAUUCCGUUGUCUGACAUAUUGACAUUUAAAAAGCUUUCAAAAGCAUACUAUGGAUAUAUGGAAGUUCUUUUCAACAACCAUAUCACUAUCAAUUCUGUCCUCAAUUUGGACACAAGCACAUUUGUGCAUAUUGUCACCUCGCUUGAAUCUGGCUUGAAAGGAUUAGAUACAGGAAUAUCAACACAGUGCGCUUCUGCCAUUGAUAGCUUGGCUGCUUUCUAUUUUAACAAUAUAACAGCUGGUGAUAAUCCACCAUCACCAGCUGCACUGAAUCUUGCUCGACAUAUUGGGGAGCUCCCCAGUUUAUUUCCUCAGAUACUGAAGUCACUUUUUGAAAUCAUUAUCUUCGAGGAUGCGGGUAACCAGUGGAGUCUCAGUAGACCAAUACUUAGUUUGAUAAUGAUCAGUGAACAGAUGUUUAGUGAUCUGAGAUCACAGGUAUUAGCAUCACAGCCUUUAGAUCAGCAACAACGCCUCUCACAGUGUUUCGAUAAGCUCAUGACUGAUGUCACAAGGAGCUUGGAACCAAAGAACAGAGACAGAUUCACUCAAAAUCUCACAACAUUCAGACAUGAUUUCCGAGCGAAGUGA
Molecule: ribosomal RNA, 3192 nt
Filed under: Triticum aestivum (bread wheat)
Lineage: Eukaryota; Viridiplantae; Streptophyta; Magnoliopsida; Poales; Poaceae
Description: partial small subunit ribosomal RNA
Source: RNAcentral